RNAcentral lists this unclassified non-coding RNA (751 nucleotides) under Hevea brasiliensis (rubber tree). Lineage: Eukaryota; Viridiplantae; Streptophyta; Magnoliopsida; Malpighiales; Euphorbiaceae. The record is from RNAcentral.
AAUUGAUUGCAGAUGCAAUAUAAUUUAAAUGCCAGUGGGAGUACUAGCUAGAGUGAUCAAAGGACCAAAUCUGAGUAGCAUAGAUAUGUGAUAACGUGGUAGAGACUCUGAAAGAUAUAGUCAGCAAGUACAGCUGUCAUGUUAGGCAGAGGAAUGGAACCAGGGAUAGAAUAGUUAAGUUCUAUUUUGGGUAAGACAAAAGAAAUAAAUGAAAGGACAAUCUGAAGGGCGCAUAAUAAAAAGGAACAAAGUUAAGAUGUAGGGUAAGCUAAUUGUUAUUAUUGGCAAGGUGAAUGACAAGGAUGAAGAACUCAAAAUGGGACCAUAUUAGUGAGAAUAGUGAUAGAGGUGUGGAAUCUAGUAAUGUGAUACUCAUAGCAUGAUGUAGUUGAGAUUGUGACAGGGGCUAAAAUAUAGAGCUUGGAGUUACAUGAUUGGAUCAUACUUUAUUUAUUCCCUAUUUCUAAAGUGAAGUGGAUAGUGAUGGGGCAAGAUUCUUUUAACUUGUUAACAGUAUCAAGAAGAUUAGGCGAGGAAUACAAUAAUAAUGAGCAAAAAGUAGACGGUAUGCGAUGAUAUUGCGGACUAUCUAAUUAGGCAGAGAAAAAGAAGUUAGUAAGUAGUAAGUUGAAUAAAAGUUAAUCUAAGGGAUCGAAUAGGUAUGAUGAGUGGAAAGAAUUAUAGAUAAUGACACAUAGGCUUUAGGUUAGAUUUUUGAGAUAGUGAAAAGGUAGUUAGAGGUUCAUUAUGA